Molecule: microRNA precursor, 101 nt
Filed under: Lottia gigantea (owl limpet)
Lineage: Eukaryota; Metazoa; Mollusca; Gastropoda; Lottiidae
Description: microRNA lgi-mir-317 precursor
Gene: lgi-mir-317
Source: miRBase by way of RNAcentral
AAGAGAAGAUAACUCUGUUGUGGAGGAUACCAUGUUGUGUUUACAGUUUUGAAACAUUUGUGAACACAGCUGGUGGUAUCUUCUAUAAGCAGAGUAUUUCA